UAGCGUUGCUUUUUCAUCCUCAAAUUAUUCGUAUACAGUUCCUCUUUUCUUCUUCGUCUCCUUCCUUUUCCCUUCAAUCGUUUUCUUAUUCACCAAAAACCACACCAGAUUUCUCUCUAUUCGAUUUUCUGUACUCGUUUCUGCUGGGGUAAUUUUCUGUUGAGAGUUCUUAUUCGAAUUUUCAGGAAUAGUUCUUGUGCAGCUAAUGAUUUUUGGGAUCCGGUGAAUUGCAUUUCUGAAUUCGGACCAUGUUAAACGAGAGUAUUCCUAAUAGUCCGUCGACUCCAGGUGCCCGGACUCGGCAUCGCAGGCGCCCAAGCGAUGGAACUUCGGAGGAUAGCAAGCAAAGUGAAAAAAAUUUACUAGUUAAUGACAGGAGUAAAUACAAGUCGAUGUUGAUCCGUGCAUACUCAACAAUUUGGAUGAUUGGGGGUUUUGCAUUAAUUAUAUACUUUGGCCAUCUCUAUAUUACUGCCAUGGUUGUGGUUAUUCAAGUUUUCAUGGCGAAGGAACUGUUCAACCUACUCAGGCGAGCUCGUGAGGAUACCCGUCUACCAGGGUUUCGACUAUUAAAUUGGCACUUCUUCUUCACAGCAAUGCUAUUCGUGUAUGGUCGCAUUUUAAGUCAGCGACUUGUUAAUACUGUCACAUCAGAUAAAUUUUUAUAUCAGCCAGUGAGCAGCCUCAUCAAGUAUCAUAUGGUUAUUUGUUAUUCCUUAUAUAUUGCAGGUUUUAUGUGGUUCAUUCUUACUUUAAAGAAGAAGAUGUACAAAUAUCAAUUUGGCCAGUAUGCAUGGACGCAUAUGAUUCUAAUCGUUGUUUUUACGCAGUCCUCUUUUACGGUAGCCAAUAUUUUUGAAGGAAUCAUCUGGUUUCUUCUGCCAGCGUCACUAAUUGUUAUCAAUGACAUUGCUGCCUAUAUAUUUGGUUUCUUCUUUGGAAGAACACCAUUGAUCAAGUUAUCUCCAAAGAAAACUUGGGAGGGAUUUAUUGGAGCCUCUAUUAUGACUAUCAUUUCUGCCUUUUUUCUAGCUAAUGUCAUGGGUCGUUAUCAGUGGCUUACUUGUCCAAGAACGGAUUUAUCAACUGGUUGGCUUCACUGUGAUCCCGGUCCUUUGUUUAAGCCCGAUUAUUUCACUUUACCAGGGUGGAUUCCCGAUUGGUUCCCAUGGAAGAAAAUAAGCAUAUUGCCAGUUCAAGGACAUGCAUUAUGCCUUGGUUUAUUUGCAUCAAUAAUUGCUCCUUUUGGAGGUUUCUUUGCAAGUGGUUUCAAAAGAGCUUUCAAAGUCAAGGAUUUUGGUGAUAGCAUUCCUGGACAUGGUGGAAUUACAGAUAGAAUGGAUUGCCAGUUCUGGAAAGUUGGAGUACAGGUCCACAUACUACGUCCUCUAUCGAGUGGGAGGUUCUAGCUGUUUUGAAAAUGGUGAUGGCUGUCUUUGCCUACAUAUAUCAUCAAUCCUUUGUCGUGGCACAGAACAUAUCUGUUGACACAAUCUUAGAUCAGAUAUUAAUGAAUCUGACAAUUGAGGAACAAGCAACUCUUUACAUGAAGCUUGGGCAAAUCUUGCAACAACGGAUGGUUGGCUAGAAUCUGAUUCUUUUAUCCUCUCUUCGGACAUUGUACCUUUGUGAAAUGAAUGAAAAUAUCAUGUAAUAUUUAUUCUUCUUGUUUA
Cucumis melo (muskmelon) is the source of this 1673-nucleotide RNA transcript. It is a transcript of the gene named phosphatidate cytidylyltransferase 2-like, with no coding region annotated. NCBI's taxonomy places the organism in Eukaryota, Viridiplantae, Streptophyta, Magnoliopsida, Cucurbitales, Cucurbitaceae. The transcript has 13 exons. The record is from RefSeq and is a predicted model, not a curated record.